Long non-coding RNA from Sarcophilus harrisii (Tasmanian devil), 254 nucleotides. RefSeq lists it as uncharacterized. The record is from RefSeq and is a predicted model, not a curated record. The transcript is spliced from 2 exons. NCBI's taxonomy places the organism in Eukaryota, Metazoa, Chordata, Mammalia, Dasyuromorphia, Dasyuridae.
ACGUCUUUGGGGCAGUAACUAUGAAUAAUGAAAGAUGAGAAAGUAUGAUUUUGGGACAAUGUAAACAAUCUUCCUUUUUCAAGGUGAAGAAACUGAGUUUCAGGGAGGUUUCUACAGUAGUGGCAGGAUUCCAAUCCAGAUCUUCCUGACUGCAACUCAUUCCACUCUAGCACAUUGCUUCCUUAAAGGCAGAGGAAGACACAAUGACUUAUUGUUGUCAUAUGUUCCACAAUAAAACAGAAUAUAUGGAAGUU